This 468-nucleotide ribosomal RNA is filed under the name uncultured bacterium. Its description in RNAcentral is "SSU rRNA". It matches the Rfam family "Bacterial small subunit ribosomal RNA", at positions 26 to 518 of the family's 1533-position model. The record is from RNAcentral.
AGGACGAACGCUGGCGGCGUGCUUAACACAUGCAAGUCGAGCGGAAAGGCCCUUCGGGGUACUCGAGCGGCGAACGGGUGAGUAACACGUGAGUAAUCUGCCCCUAGCUCUGGGAUAGCUCCGGGAAACCGGGAUUAAUACCAGAUACGACCACUUUAGACAUCUUCUGUGGUGGAAAGAACUUCGGCUAGGGAUGAACUCGCGGCCUAUCAGCUUGUUGGUGAGGUAACGGCUCACCAAGGCGACGACGGGUAGCCGGCCUGAGAGGGCGACCGGCCACACUGGGACUGAGACACGGCCCAGACUCCUACGGGAGGCAGCAGUGGGGAAUAUUGCGCAAUGGGCGAAAGCCUGACGCAGCGACGCCGCGUGGGGAUGAAGGCCUUCGGGUUGUAACCCUUUCAGCAGGGACGAAGCGAAGUGACGGUACCUGCAGAGAAGCGCCGGCUAACUCGCGCCAGCAGCCGC